RNAcentral lists this ribosomal RNA (700 nucleotides) under uncultured Actinomycetes bacterium. RNAcentral's name for it is "bacterial SSU rRNA". It matches the Rfam family "Bacterial small subunit ribosomal RNA", at positions 75 to 788 of the family's 1533-position model. The record is from RNAcentral. Lineage: Bacteria; Bacillati; Actinomycetota; Actinomycetes.
AGUAGCAAUACAAGGGAAGACCUAGUGGCGAACGGGUGAGUAUCACGUGAGAAACCAACCCCGGUCUCUGGGAUAACAGUUGGAAACGACUGCUAAUACUGGAUGUCGUCGUACCCUCGCAUGGGGGGAUGACGAAAGGGUUACCGGAUCGGGACGGUCUCGCGGCCUAUCAGCUUGUUGGGGAGGUAACGGCUCACCAAGGCUUCGACGGGUAGCUGGUCUGAGAGGAUGAUCAGCCACACUGGGACUGAGACACGGCCCAGACUCCUACGGGAGGCAGCAGUGGGGAAUCUUGCGCAAUGGGCGAAAGCCUGACGCAGCAACGCCGCGUGCGGGAUGAAGGCCUUCGGGUUGUAAACCGCUUUUAACAGGAACGAAAAUGACGGUACCUGUAGAAUAAGGUGCGGCCAACUACGUGCCAGCAGCCGCGGUGACACGUAGGCACCAAGCGUUGUCCGGAUUUAUUGGGCGUAAAGAGCUCGUAGGCGGUUCAGUAAGUCGGGUGUGAAAACUCUGGGCUUAACCCAGAGACGCCACUCGAUACUACUGUGACUAGAGUUCGGUAGGGGAGCGGGGAAUUCCUAGUGUAGCGGUGAAAUGCGCAGAUAUUAGGAGGAACACCGGUGGCGAAGGCGCCACUCUGGGCCGAUACUGACGCUGAGGAGCGAAAGCGUGGGUAGCAAACAGGAUUAGAUACCCU